Sciurus carolinensis (gray squirrel) is the source of this 74-nucleotide non-coding RNA. The record is from the annotation of a RefSeq genome assembly. NCBI's taxonomy places the organism in Eukaryota, Metazoa, Chordata, Mammalia, Rodentia, Sciuridae.
GGGGAUGUAGCUCAGUUGGUAGAGUGCUUGCCUGUCAAGCUCAAGGCCCUGGGUUCAAUCCCCAGUAUCUGCCA